Molecule: ribosomal RNA, 413 nt
Filed under: uncultured microorganism
Description: bacterial SSU rRNA
Rfam family: Archaeal small subunit ribosomal RNA
Source: RNAcentral
GUGCAGCAGGCGCGAAACCUCCGCAAUACACGAAAGUGUGACGGGGCCAUCCCGAGUGCCGUCCGCUGAGGACGGCUUUUCCCCAGUGUACACAGCUGGGGGAAUAAGGAGAGGGCAAGCCUGGUGUCAGCCGCCGCGGUAAUACCAGCUCUCCGAGUGGUGGGGACGCUUAUUGGGCCUAAAGCAUCCGUAGCCGGCUGGGCAAGUCCUCCGUUAAAUCCAACGAUUCAAUCGUUGGGCUGCGGGGGAUACUGUCCAGCUUGGGGGCGGGAGAGGCCGACGGUAUCCCCGGGGUAGGGGUGAAAUCCUAUAAUCCCGGGAGGACCACCAGUGGCGAAGGCUGUCGGCUAGAACGCGCCCGACGGUGAGGGAUGAAAGCUGGGGGAGCGAACCGGAUUAGAUAUCCGGGUAGU